GAUGAACGCUGGCGGCGUGCCUAAUACAUGCAAGUCGAGCGAACAGACGAGGAGCUUGUUCCUCUGACGUUAGCGGCGGACGGGUGAGUAACACGUGGAUAACCUACCUAUAAGACUGGGAUAACUUCGGGAAACCGGAGCUAAUACCGGAUAAUAUAUUGAACCGCAUGGUUCAAUAGUGAAAGACGGUUUUGCUGUCACUUAUAGAUGGAUCCGCGCCGCAUUAGCUAGUUGGUAAGGUAACGGCUUACCAAGGCGACGAUGCGUAGCCGACCUGAGAGGGUGAUCGGCCACACUGGAACUGAGACACGGUCCAGACUCCUACGGGAGGCAGCAGUAGGGAAUCUUCCGCAAUGGGCGAAAGCCUGACGGAGCAACGCCGCGUGAGUGAUGAAGGUCUUCGGAUCGUAAAACUCUGUUAUUAGGGAAGAACAAAUGUGUAAGUAACUAUGCACGUCUUGACGGUACCUAAUCAGAAAGUCACGGCUAACUACGUG
This 497-nucleotide ribosomal RNA is filed under the name uncultured bacterium. RNAcentral describes it as "partial 16S ribosomal RNA". It matches the Rfam family "Bacterial small subunit ribosomal RNA", at positions 28 to 507 of the family's 1533-position model. The record is from RNAcentral.